AUUGAACGCUGGCGGCAGGCCUAACACAUGCAAGUCGAGCGGUAGAGAGGUGCUUGCAUCUCUUGAGAGCGGCGGACGGGUGAGUAAUGCCUAGGAAUCUGCCUAGUGGUGGGGGGAUAACGUUCGGAAACGGACGCUAAUACCGCAUACGUCCUACGGGAGAAAGCGGGGGAUCUUCGGACCUCGCGCCAUUAGAUGAGCCUAGGUCGGAUUAGCUAGUUGGUGAGGUAAUGGCUCACCAAGGCGACGAUCCGUAACUGGUCUGAGAGGAUGAUCAGUCACACUGGAACUGAGACACGGUCCAGACUCCUACGGGAGGCAGCAGGUGGGGAAUAUUGGACAAUGGGCGAAAGCCUGAUCCAGCCAUGCCGCGUGUGUGAAGAAGGUC
This 388-nucleotide ribosomal RNA is filed under the name uncultured bacterium. Its description in RNAcentral is "bacterial SSU rRNA". It matches the Rfam family "Bacterial small subunit ribosomal RNA", at positions 30 to 416 of the family's 1533-position model. The record is from RNAcentral.